GACGAACGCUGGCGGCGUGCUUAACACAUGCAAGUCGAACGAUGAAGCCGGAGCUUGCUCUGGUGAAUUAGUGGCGAACGGGUGAGUAACACGUGAGUAACCUGCCCUUGACUCUGGGAUAACUGCGGGAAACUGUAGCUAAUACCGGCUACGACCCUCGGAGGCAUCUCCUGGGGGUGGAAAGAAUUUCGGUCAAGGAUGGACUCGCGGCCAAUCAGCUAGUUGGUGAGGUAAAGGCUCACCAAGGCGACGACGGGUAGCCGGCCUGAGAGGGUGAACGGCGACACUGGGACUGAGACACGGACCAGACUCCUACGGGAGGCAGCAGUGGGGAAUAUUGCACAAUGGGCGCAAGCCUGAUGCAGCAACGCCGCGUGAGGGAUGACGGCCUUCGGGUUGUAAACCUCUUUUAGCAGGGAAGAAGCGAAAGUGACGGUACCUGCAGAAAAAGCACCGGCUAACUACGUGCCAGCCGCCGCUGUAA
This 484-nucleotide ribosomal RNA is filed under the name uncultured bacterium. RNAcentral describes it as "partial 16S ribosomal RNA". It matches the Rfam family "Bacterial small subunit ribosomal RNA", at positions 28 to 523 of the family's 1533-position model. The record is from RNAcentral.